UACGUAGGGUGCAAGCGUUAAUCGGAAUUACUGGGCGUAAAGCGUGCGCAGGCGGUUUUGUAAGCCAGAUGUGAAAUCCCCGGGCUCAACCUGGGACCUGCAUUUGUGACUGCAUCGCUGGAGUGCGGCAGAGGGGGAUGGAAUUCCGCGUGUAGCAGUGAAAUGCGUAGAUAUGCGGAGGAACACCGAUGGCGAAGGCAAUCCCCUGGGCCUGCACUGACGCUCAUGCACGAAAGCGUGGGGAGCAAACAGG
RNAcentral lists this ribosomal RNA (253 nucleotides) under uncultured bacterium. RNAcentral describes it as "partial 16S ribosomal RNA". It matches the Rfam family "Bacterial small subunit ribosomal RNA", at positions 524 to 776 of the family's 1533-position model. The record is from RNAcentral.